Molecule: microRNA precursor, 123 nt
Filed under: Schistosoma mansoni
Lineage: Eukaryota; Metazoa; Platyhelminthes; Trematoda; Strigeidida; Schistosomatidae
Description: microRNA sma-mir-8441 precursor
Source: miRBase by way of RNAcentral
GUAAAGGUGGUCCUCACUCGUUUCUACUUAUCGUAAGUCGCAGUAUUCCGGAAAUUUUUAGGGUGAAAGUAAAUUUCAAUACUUUUUGUUAUCAUAAGUAACCAGUGUUUAUACUAUCAUCGG